Molecule: long non-coding RNA, 1455 nt
Organism: Lutra lutra (Eurasian river otter)
Lineage: Eukaryota; Metazoa; Chordata; Mammalia; Carnivora; Mustelidae
Exons: 3
Source: RefSeq, a predicted model, not a curated record
CAGCCGCCUCGCCGCCAGUGCCCAGCGCGGGGCCCUGCGCCUCCACGAGCAGCUCCUCUGGCCAAGCACGCCAGCCUCCACGUUUGCUUUGGGCUCGGGGUUCACCAGGCGCUGCGUCUUCUUGGGACAAACAACAAGCAACGAUAAUAGAAUAUGACCUGUGCUGAGUGCCACCAUGGCCUGCCCAGCGCCGGGUGACAUCAGAACAAAUCCAGCAGAGACUCUAUGCCUGAUGAUGACCCACAAAGCUGCCCCCAUUCUCCAUCUCAGAGAAUCGUGACUUGUCCUUCUAGAUGUCCUCGUAGGACACCAACCUGCAACAGGGUGGUCUGGGUCCUAGCCCAAGCCCCCUGGCCCUAUGCUCAACACAGUGUCACCCCUUUCCCCUCCAGUGAAAACUGACACUACCACUUCAACCUCAGAGCCUUUGCACUGGCAGGUGCCAGCUUCGAAGGCUCUUUCUUUCCCACUCAACUUCAAGAGUCAUUCCCUGGCUUCCUUCAACUCUUUCCUAAAUGGCCAAGUUUCAGUGCAUGUCCUCUUGGCUACCUUUGGUAACCUCAGCUCCCACCCUGCCCCUUUCUAUGGCCCUGCAUGUCGCCUGUUAUUUGCUCCAGUGUGUCGUGUCCUCCUCACCCACUCCGUCACUGCAGGGUGAGUCCCAAGUCAGGAGCUGGGUCCCGAGGCAUAGCACCAGCCAGCACGUCAAAGACAAGAAUCUGCCAGUCGAGUGAACACCCAGGCAAGAGCUGGCUCAAGUGAGCAGGAGCUGGAUGUGCAAAGGACCUGGGCCAAGGCCCUCCCCGGUGUGGGCCCCGACCCCGUCCAACCCACACUCCACGUUUUGCCGGAGACCAAGAUGUGAGCCUGGAGGCCUGGCCCGGGGCGCCACCUGCGUGAGCGCGGGGGCGGAGUGGUGACGUCAACGCCGCGAGCGAGGCUGCGCGAGCCGAGGAGACGUCAGCGCAGCCCCGGGCCGCCCGCGCACGCGUCCGUGCGUCAGCGGCGCGCGGGGGCGGAGGCCGGACGAGGCCUCGGUGCGUGUAUCUCCGGUCGCCGAGUGCCCUCUGCCGGAGCCGUCGAGUAUUGCAUCCGAGCGGCGCCCGGCACUUGUCCGCUCUAGAUAGGCCCAGGAUGCACUUCCCAGCACGUCUGCGUCCGACAGUCGCAGCCCACCCCAUCCUGGCCCCCAGCGCUGCUUUUCUUUGCUCUUUUGAGUACUUCGUAGCUUCCAACGUGCCAUAUGGUUUGCGUAUUCGUCACGCUGAUGUUUGUUAAACGUCCCCACCGCCCCAAACCAAAGCCGGAAUCUUGGUAUUCCUCUUGAUGGCUCUAGCGCCUGGCAUCCAAGGAGCGCCCCCAAAAUCUUGAAUUCAAGUAAUCCCUGCUCCGCGGAGGCUUUUGGCACAUACCCCAUCUUACCCCGUGGCUGGCCUCUGGAACUGGAAGGAAACU